GUACCAUCUCCAUGUUAACUUGAAUUAGUGGUGAUGUUAAUUUAUCCAUUAACCACUUUAUUGAUCUUUAUCAAAUUCAAUAUAUACUUGAACCUUGAUCUUGCCACUUGCUUCCAAACACAUUUUCAUGUUUAGGUAAUCUAACAAGCCUACAAACAUUGUUCUUUGAGAUGACACACUCAAAGUAUGACACUCAAUGUCAAAAUAAUUAUCUCUUUGAGAUGACACACUCUCCCUCCUUACUUAACCACAGAUCAAAUGAUAAUCAUAAGCUAUAAUUAUUCUCUCAUUACUGGUAACAUUUCAAAAUUUUAAAUAUAAGUUAUAAAUAUCUUUUUC
Molecule: long non-coding RNA, 339 nt
Filed under: Lathyrus oleraceus (garden pea)
Lineage: Eukaryota; Viridiplantae; Streptophyta; Magnoliopsida; Fabales; Fabaceae
Description: Pisum sativum (pea) long non-coding RNA (PSAT_LNC009626)
Source: RNAcentral